This 328-nucleotide ribosomal RNA is filed under the name uncultured eukaryote. RNAcentral describes it as "partial 18S ribosomal RNA". It matches the Rfam family "Eukaryotic small subunit ribosomal RNA", at positions 1470 to 1796 of the family's 1831-position model. The record is from RNAcentral.
CCCUUAGAUGUCCGGGGCUGCACGCGCGCUACACUGAAGGAAUCAGCGUGCUAAAACCAUUGUCGAAAGGCAUUGGUAAACCCAUUAAAAUCCUACGUGAUUGGGAUCGGGAAUUGCAAUUAUUUCCCUUGAACGAGGAAUUCCCAGUAAGUGUGGGUCAUAAGCUCGCGUUGAUUACGUCCCUGCCCUUUGUACACACCGCCCGUCGCUGCCCGGGACUGAGCCGUUUCGAGAAAAGCGGGGACUGCUGCUGUCGGGGCUUUCGGGCCUUGGCUUCGGUGGAAACCGCUUUAAUCGCAGUGGCUUGAGCCGGGCAAAANUCGUAACA